GCAGCCUGUGAUGAGGAUGUCUCCCACUCAUGUUCGAGUUUCCCAACUAUGAGACAACUCUACAUGCACUACCAUCUGAGGCUGA
This is a small nucleolar RNA of Mesocricetus auratus (golden hamster), 85 nucleotides long. Lineage: Eukaryota; Metazoa; Chordata; Mammalia; Rodentia; Cricetidae. The record is from Ensembl.